This 497-nucleotide ribosomal RNA is filed under the name uncultured bacterium. Its description in RNAcentral is "partial 16S ribosomal RNA". It matches the Rfam family "Bacterial small subunit ribosomal RNA", at positions 28 to 507 of the family's 1533-position model. The record is from RNAcentral.
GAUGAACGCUGGCGGCGUGCCUAAUACAUGCAAGUCGAGCGAACAGACGAGGAGCUUGCUCCUCUGACGUUAGCGGCGGACGGGUGAGUAACACGUGGAUAACCUACCUAUAAGACUGGGAUAACUUCGGGAAACCGGAGCUAAUACCGGAUAAUAUAUUGAACCGCAUGGUUCAAUAGUGAAAGACGGUUUUGCUGUCACUUAUAGAUGGAUCCGCGCCGCAUUAGCUAGUUGGUAAGGUAACGGCUUACCAAGGCAACGAUGCGUAGCCGACGUGAGAGCGUGAUCGCCAAAACUGGAACUGAGACACGGUCCAGACUCCUACGGGAGGCAGCAGUAGGGAAGCUUACGCAAUGGGCGAACGCCUGACGGAGCAACGCCGCGUGAGUGAUGAAGGUCUUCGGAUCGUAAAACUCUGUUAUUAGGGAUGAACAAAUGUGUAAGUAACUAUGCACGUCUUGACGGUACCUAAUCAGAAAGCCACGGCUAACUACGUG